RNAcentral lists this ribosomal RNA (384 nucleotides) under uncultured bacterium. RNAcentral describes it as "partial 16S ribosomal RNA". It matches the Rfam family "Bacterial small subunit ribosomal RNA", at positions 338 to 739 of the family's 1533-position model. The record is from RNAcentral.
CCUACGGGCGGCUGCAGUGAGGAAUAUUGCUCAAUGGGGGAAACCCUGAAGCAGCCAAGCAGCGUGCAGGAUGACGGUUUUAGGAUUGUAAACUCCUUUUGUUAGAGAAGAUACUGACGUUAUCUAACGAAUAAGCCACGGCAAAGUCCGUCCCAGCAGCCGCGGUAAUACGGAGGGUGCAAGCGUUAUUCGGAAUAACUGGGCGUAAAGCGCGUGUAGGCGGGAUAGCAAGUGAGAGUGGAAAGCCUAAGGCUUAACCAUAGAACUGCAUGUGAAACUGUUAGUCUAGAGUAUGGGAGAGGUAGGUGGAAUUGUUGGGGUGGGGGGAAAAGCCGUAGAGAUCAGGAGGAAUACGCAUUGCGAGGGCGACCUGCUAGAACAUAA